UUGAACCGCCGUGUAUUUUGCUUUGCAAAGGCCAUUGAUGUGUUGAACCCAUUUCCUUGCCAAUGAAUCAUCGUCCAAUGUUUGUGCCAUUUCCUACACAAAUCUACCACAACAAAAUUCAGGCAGUAUCUGCUUAGAUGUCAAAACAGGAAUCAUGCAAAUGUUUAUGUAAUAGGAACUUGGUGAGGACAAAGUAUAUAUGAGUGCAUGAGACCGACCAUAUUGGCC
Long non-coding RNA from Carya illinoinensis, 228 nucleotides. RefSeq lists it as uncharacterized. The transcript is spliced from 3 exons. NCBI's taxonomy places the organism in Eukaryota, Viridiplantae, Streptophyta, Magnoliopsida, Fagales, Juglandaceae. The record is from RefSeq and is a predicted model, not a curated record.